AACGAACGCUGGCGGCAGGCUUAACACAUGCAAGUCGAGCGCCCCGCAAGGGGAGCGGCAGACGGGUGAGUAACACGUGGGAAUCUACCCAUCCCUACGGAACAACUCCGGGAAACCGGAGCUAAUACCGUAUACGCCCUUCGGGGAAGAUCUAUCGGGAUGGAUGAGCCCGCGUUGGAUUAGCUAGUUGGUGGGGUAAAGGCCUACCAAGGCGACGAUCCAUAGCUGGUCUGAGAGGAUGAUCAGCCACAUUGGGACUGAGACACGGCCCAA
RNAcentral lists this ribosomal RNA (273 nucleotides) under uncultured bacterium. RNAcentral's name for it is "partial 16S ribosomal RNA". It matches the Rfam family "Bacterial small subunit ribosomal RNA", at positions 29 to 334 of the family's 1533-position model. The record is from RNAcentral.